GAUGAACGCUGGCGGCGUGCCUAAUACAUGCAAGUCGAGCGAACGGACGAGAAGCUUGCUUCUCUGAUGUUAGCGGCGGACGGGUGAGUAACACGUGGAUAACCUACCUAUAAGACUGGGAUAACUUCGGGAAACCGGAGCUAAUACCGGAUAAUAUUUUGAACCGCAUGGUUCAAAAGUGAAAGACGGUCUUGCUGUCACUUAUAGAUGGAUCCGCGCUGCAUUAGCUAGUUGGUAAGGUAACGGCUUACCAAGGCAACGAUGCAUAGACGACCUGAGAGGGUGAUAGGCCACACUGGAACUGAGACACGGUCCAGACUCCUACGGGAGGCAGCAGUAGGGAAUGUGCCGCAGUGGGCGAAAGCCUGACGGAGCAACGCCGCGUGAGUGAUGAAGGUCUUCGGAUCGUAAAACUCUGUUAUUAGGGAAGAACAUAUGUGUAAGUAACUGUGCACAUCUUGACGGUAACUAAUCAGAAAGCCACGGCUAACUACGUG
This 497-nucleotide ribosomal RNA is filed under the name uncultured bacterium. Its description in RNAcentral is "partial 16S ribosomal RNA". It matches the Rfam family "Bacterial small subunit ribosomal RNA", at positions 28 to 507 of the family's 1533-position model. The record is from RNAcentral.